UCCUACUUAGCUCAGUUGGUUAGAGCAUCUGACUGUUAAUCAGAGGGUCGCUGGUUCAAGUCCAGCAGUGGGAG
Molecule: transfer RNA, 74 nt
Filed under: Bacteroidota bacterium
Lineage: Bacteria; Pseudomonadati; Bacteroidota
Also listed under: 1 other name
Description: Bacteroidetes bacterium (biofilm metagenome) tRNA-Asn
Rfam family: tRNA
About the family: Transfer RNA (tRNA) molecules are approximately 80 nucleotides in length. Their secondary structure includes four short double-helical elements and three loops (D, anti-codon, and T loops).
Source: RNAcentral